CUUCUCUUUCUUUAUAUAGGCGACACUGGUGGGGCUCGGGGGUUAUCUCAAUUAGUUUAGGAUUCUGUUUUCUGUACCGAUCACAUAAAAAACAAAUUUAUCUCUUAGUUUGUUUCUUGUCAGGAUAAGGAAACCGAUGGUUUAGAUCCUCUCCUAACCCUUAUCGACACAAGUCGACAAAAUCAACCAACAUUCUCCCCUUGAUUUUGAGACUUACUUACGAGUUUAUUAAAUAAAAUAGCUCCCCAAGGCAAUGUGUCUUCAACAACAUUAUGCGUCACUGAGACAACAAGACCUAUAGCUCACUAUAGUACUCAAAUAAACUCAAGCUUAACUUAGUGGGUGUUGAUUGAAAAAUUUAGUCCCCCUCAUCCAGGAUCUCAGUAAGGCUCUAAUUUACAUAUAUACUGGCCAGAACAUAAUCUUAAUUAAUCUUAAUUUUAUGAGCCUUUAGAGUAUGGAUCCAUUAGCAAAUGCUUAGCUUAAUAAUUCGAUCCUGGGACAUGUCUUUCACAACCAUAUCAAUGUGUUAGGCAGAAAACACACAAUAUGUUGCUACUAGAAUAGAAAACUGUGUUUAAUUAGUGCACAACUUCACUAAAAUCAAUCCAAGGGAAAGAAUAUCUCCAACUUAUGAGACGUUCUAACCUCCCCUAGAAAUGUGACAUCAAUUACAAUGUCACAAUUUCAAUGAUGUCUCAUCUUUUGUCAUUACAGGCAAUUAUUAUAAUAGUCACAUGAUCAUCCAAAAGAACAAAUAUGACUGUCGUGCACAAGGACAAGACCAAUCACUUUAUUAUCACACUUAAUGUAUCAUGUUCUAUUUGGUAAAAUAACGGACAUGACCCGUUUCUCAUAUGAAUUUAAAAAAUUAAACUAGUAAAGUUUCUCUUAAUAGAGUGAACAAAUAAGACAUUAUUGCAAUUGCUGUGAAACUAAGUGUGAGGUCUCCAACAACACUUCACUUUCAUCUUCACUCCAUCAGUUACUCUGAGUGUUCACUCCCCUCUUUGCUACCGUUUGGACGGUGCGAGUUUCCUGUAAUGAGUUAGAAACAUGCACAUCGGCAUUGAGUCAAACUCACUAAGUAUUAAGGGAAAAUUCAUCACAAGGGAUUUAUUUAAUUUCAUUUAUACCUUUCUUGACUAACCACGCUGUGAAGCGUGUGCAAUUUCUCUGCCAAUGUCCAUCUGACGCACAGAAGUGGCAGUAGGGACUUGUACUUAAAGGAACAGCUGAAGUGGAGGCCUUGAUCCCUUCUUGCUUCUGCUCACCCUCUGGCUCACUAUUCUUAUUAGAGGAUUCCCCUUGAUAGACCUUUUUGCCUUUAUCAAAGGCAUUAGUGAGGUUGAGCCGGUCUUUAAUCUUCUGCUUUUCAGCUUUCUGGCGCUCUUCCUCUUCCACGGAGUGUAAGAUCAAUUCUUGUAUGGUCCACUCCUCUUUCUGAGUAUUAUAUUUUGUUUUGAAUGGAUCAUAGUUAGGACCAAGAGAUCUCAUGAUGAUGUGCACUAAAAAUCCAUCAGAUAUUUUCAUAUCCAUGGAUCUGAGUUGAUUUGCCAUAUGAGUCAUCUCAAGGAUGUGCUUCCUUAUACCACUUUUGCCAUUGUAAUGACUAGUGAUCAUCUCAUUUACAAGCAUAUUGGCAUGAGUGUCAGGUGCAAAUUCAAAACUUUCUUCAAUGUUUGCCAGAUACAUCUUAAUGUCAUUAUAGUCAAUGAUUCCUCCAAUAACUUCUGGAGAGAUGGCACCCUUGACAUAAAUUAAGCACAUUCUGUUGGACUUCUCCCAGUUGGCUAACUUCUUAUUGUAGGCCCACAUGAGAUUAUCAUAUUCUUCCUCAAUUAUAUUGAGUUCUUCGGCCAGUUGAGGUUCCUAGGGAGGAUCCUCUCUUAUGGCUAAGUCAUAAUCCAACAUGGCUAAGUUAAUAAGCACAUUAUUUCUCCAUUCAACAUUCAACGUAAUUUGAUCCAUCACGAAGCUGAAUAGCCUUAAGUUGUCCUAAUGCUGAAAAAUUAAUUAUUAAUUAAACAUUAGUAAUGCAAUUAAUUUCCAUUGGCUUAAUUAAUCACAUACAAAUAAAUCUUAAUUUUCAUAAUCAAACACCAUAGGGUAGAAAAGAUUAUGAAAUGGCAGAGAAUAAUGAAUUACUGAAAAUUAAUAUCCUAAAUCAAAUUACCAAAAUCAGGUAGAUAUGAUAUAGGGCAUAAUGCUAUUAGUAAAUGACAUGAAAUUAAAGUCCUUAGCCAUAUCACCGUUGGGCAGAAAUGGUAAAGGAAUUAAGCUUAGUAACAAAUUAGAGAUCAUUGAUCAUAUCACCGUAAGGCACGAGUGACGGAGGAAUUAAUGCACUAGUGGCAUAAGUAAAAUUCUAAGUCAUAUCACCGUAAAGGCCAAAAUGACAAAGAAAAUGAAAAUAAUGAUUGACGAUACUUAGAUGUUUCCUUAAUUACAUCACCGUUGGGCAGAAAUAAUUAAGGAAAUAACAAUCUUAAUGAAAUCAUCUUUCUUUCUAGAUAAACUUCCCGUUGGUUCCAUUAAUCUAGAAAUAAAUUACUCAGUAUUGCAACUGAUCUUAAAUAAUAAGCAUUGCCAAUUGCAUAAAGUUAAUUUACAUUGGCUUAAUCGAUCAUAUGCAAAAUAAACUUAAAAUUUCAUAGUCAAAGCACCAUUGGUCAUAAAUAAUUAUGAAUAAUCUUAAAAUUAAUUCCUCAAUUAUAUCACCGUUUGGUAGAAAAUAACUAAGGAAUAAAAAAUUAUAAUUGACACGCAAUUAUAAUAAAGUGGGUUAAAUAUAACUUCACAUCUUAAUGCUUUCUAGUCGAAUUUCUCGUUGGUUCCAUUCGACUAUAAAUAAUUAAUAUACUAAGGAAAUGACCAUCAUAAUGAUGUUGACAUGAAAUCAUAAAUACUUUCUAGUUAAAUUUCCAUUCAACUAGAAAUAAAUUAAGUGGCUUAAGGAAAUAAUAAUCUUAAUAAAUAUUGACAUGAAAUUAUAUUAACAUUGGUCAAAUAUAAUAUCAUAUCAUUAAUUUCUUUCUAGCCAAACUUCCCGUUGGUUCCAUUUAACUAGAAAUAAUUUUCUAAGUGAUCAAAUAAUUGACCAUAAUUUUCCAGAAAUUUUAAAAUAGCUAAGAAAGCUCAUAAAUGAAUUUAUGGAAAUAAAUAAAACAUUAAAUGGCGGGCUUAAAUAUAAUAAUGCGGCCAAUCAUUUCCUUAGCCGGCCCAUAAAAAAGGCUAAAAUCAGGAUAAAAUUUAGCUAAUAAAGAUAUAACACAUUAUGAGAAAUUAAAUUCGUGGGCUUAAUAAAUUAAAAAUAAAGGCCCACUCUUAUCGAAAAUCCGGCCCAAAACGGACCGGCCCAUUAUGUGCACGUGCGGCGCUUAGGCGGACGCGGCCCAUAUCGGCGCGGCCUAUGAAGGCGACGUCCCGACGCGGGGUCGAUCUUUGCUGUCCGAUCCGAUGGACGGCUCGGAUUGAUCCUGCGGCGAUGAAAUCGCCAGCCGGUGGGGGGAAAGGGUUUCCAACCCUAACCCUAAUCUCUUCCCUCUCUUUGACGGCUCUCUCACCCGGGCGAGUGAGCGAGCGGCGACAAUGGCGACAAGCACCGCAACGGCUCCAUCUCGGCCGGCUGGGGGCGUGCCUGAAGGGCAGCGCCAAGCCGUGUGCAAUGGCGUCGGCGGUCCGGUGUCACACCCCGAAGUUCUCCUCCCAAGCCUAAAUUUAAUUUAUAAAUGACCCUAAGAAAAUACCGGUGCAAAGCAAGAGUAAACCCUUUUAAAUCAAUGCAAUUAAUAAUCGGAAUUGGCAUGUGGAAUUUUUCUUGAGUUCUACAUGUCGAAAUUCACUGACAGGAUUUUUAGUGGAAUUUUCAGAGCCCUAGAAAUAAUUUUAACCAAUUAAAAUUGAGCAAGCAAUAUUUUAAUUCUGGGGAAAAUCCUUUUUCCUUUUUCUUUUUCUUUUUCCUCCCUUUUUUCGAAUGGGCCGCUGGCCCAUUCUCUCCUUUCCUCCCCCUCCUCCCUGCUGGGCUGGCCGCAGGCCGAGGCCCAGCCAAGCCGCUCCUCCCUCCUCUCCCGGGGUCGCCGACAGGUGGGGCCCACCUGUCGGGUCCUCCCCCAACCCCGCCGCGCGCGCCCUCCUCCUCGUGGGCCGGCCCAAGCCGCCCUCCCUCUCUCCCCGGGACGCCGACAGGUGGGCCCCACCUGUCGGAUCUGUCCCCUUCCUCCAGCCGGCGCCGCCGCGCCGCAACCGCCGCCGCGCCCACGCCUCCGCCUUCUCCGGGCCACGUCAGCCACGUCCGCGCGUGCGCCGCAUCUCCCGCGCCCACUCCCCUCUCUCUCCCGCUCGUGCUCGCGCCCGAGAUGGCCGGGAUUCGAUUUUCGAAUCCCGCCUCUCUCUCCUCCCCCACUCCCCUACGUUGGCCGGUGGAAUCCCGCCUCUCCCGGCCACGUCCGGCCCUCCCCUUCCCUAUUUAAGCUUCUCCGUCGCCCUCUCUCGCUUUUUCCCCAUUUCGCCGAACUCUCCCGAGCCUCCCAUCGCUUCCGCGCCGUGCAACCACCCGCCGCCGCCGUUUCCGAUACUCCGGCCGCCACUAGCCGCCGCUAGGCUCGUCGCCGCACCGCGCUGUCGCCGCCGUCGGGUUCGCGUGGCCGAGAUCCACCCCGUCCACCCCUCCUUCGUCGAGGUCCGCCGCCGGAGCGCCAUUCCCAUCGUGCGACGGUCGUCCCGGUCGCCGUCCGCCGCGUGUCGACCUCCCUCCGUCGCUCCCCGUCGCCGGACGCCGCCGUCCCCUCCGAUUCCGGUUCCUCCGACGCUCCGGUGUACUUCGAAAUAGUCGCCGAGGUUCCUCCAGCAGCAGAGCAAGGCAAGUCAUGCUUGUCACUUGAACAUGUUGAUCCUAUAUUGCAAAUGCUCUAUUGUUUUCCUUCAAAUACUGCAUCGUUUUAUAAUGUUACUAUGGGAUGUUUACCUAUUGUCAUAGCCAUGCUAUUGUUGUACCAUGUUUCUUUGUCAACUUGGGGUUAUAACCUGAUUAGAGUUUGGACUAGGAAUUGCUUAGCCAUGCUUAGUUCAACUAGUUCACAAUGGGGAAAAUCAUAUUAAUGUUUAGACUGUUGGUUCUAAUGGUUUUGUUGGUUUAGUAACACCGCUUUGGUGUUGGUUAAUUAAAAUAAAUCACAUGGUGGGCCGUGGGUGCAUGGUUUUGCUGGUCGCACCCAUGGCAGUUAAGGACCGGUUCGCGGGAUGCCCUGGAAGAACUUAUCGUACUUACCACAAGCCAGCGUGGGCAACGGCUGGGCUUGUAACGUAGCUUUCCUCUAGCCGACGCAUCCAGGCAAGGGUGGGCGUGAUGGAGUUUGGAUGGGCCCUGCGACGGCCUAUGCGGCUUCCGGAUUCACCUAGGCACGAGAGGGGACUGCCCGUUGCCUUGCGAGGAGUGGGGGUGAAACCUGAGGUGUGGUGUGCUUGGUUAGAGGGGGUUAUGCGAAUGGUCCUGUCACAGCCUCUUUCCGGUAUGUCGUGGUGGCAUGUCGGCGCACGGAAACGUGUUGUGGGGCUGUGUCUUGUGGGUACAGUUGUAAUUAAUUAUUACAACUGUUUAAAUCUUUCAACUUCUGUUCUUAAAUGCUCGCUUUAUGCAAAUGAACCACUUUAGCUCUUCUUUGAUGAUUCCCUGCAUCAUGCUCUGUUCUUAAAUGCUCGCUUUAUGCAAAUGAACCACUUUAGCUCUUCUUUGAUGAUUCCCUGCAUCAUGCCUCUAUUCCGGCAUGACUUGCUGAGUACAGUGGGUAGUACUCAGUCUUGCUCUACUUUUCCCAACCCCCAGAGUGCGAGUAUAUGUCGGAUGAAGGUUUCUCCGAGGAGUAGGCUUCGUCCGUGCCGUCGAGGAUGCCUGUGGAGUGGUGUUCCCGCUGCAGUUCUAGUCAAGGCUUAGCUCCUGUUGUCUUUCUUUCUUUCCCGCUGCAGUUCUAGUCAAGGCUUAGCUCCUGUUGUCUUUCUUUCUUUCCGCUGCAUUUAUGUAAAGACUUUUAUGAUGUUUGUAAGACUUGGAAUUCUAUUCGGGAAUUUCUGGGCGUGACAAGGUGUCCCGCCUUCCCCCAGGCCGGGACCGCUUACAUCUGAUAGCUUUCAUAGGUCAUAGACUGCCCUCACAGGGCAACACAUAUCUUUUCUGCACACUUUGUCCUCACUCGUGUGCACCCGGGAAGAAUUUCCCGGUCGGUCACCCAUCCCAAAUUGCUCCAGGCCAAGCACGCUUAACCCUGGAGUUCUUUGGAGAUUGGCUUCCGGAAAAGAAGUUGCAACUUGUUGAUAUGAGUAUUCUAUUAAUCCUAUUAAGCCCUAGGCCGGGAUGUUACACCCUCACCCCCUUAAGAGAGAUCGACGCCCCCGUCGAUCAACCCCAGGCCAGGAACGUCCUCUCUUGGUCACGUCCAUGUGUCCAGUGCCAACGCAUGUGCCAUGCUAUGUAACCACUCCCGGUCUACACCAGCCAUGCGCACCAUGCCUGCGCAAUUGCGACACGCGCCCGUGAAACCGCGAGAGUCGGCUCUGAUACCAUUUUGUAACGUCCCGCCUCCCCCCAGGCCGGACCCGCUUACAUCUGAUAGCUUUCAUAGGUCAUAGACUGCCCUCACAGACCAACACAUAUCCGUGAAACCGCGAGAGUCGGCUCUGAUACCAUUUUGUAACGUCCCGCCUUCCCCCAGGCCGGGCCCGCUUACAUCUGAUAGCUUUCAUAGGUCAUAGACUGCCCUCACAGACCAACACAUAUCUUUUCUGCACACUUUGUCCUCACUCGUGUGCACCCGGAAAGAAUUUCCCGGUCGGUCACCCAUCCCAAAUUGCUCCAGGCCAAGCACGCUUAACCCUGGAGUUCUUCGGAGAUUGGCUUCCGGAAAAAGCUUCCGGAAAAGAAGUUGCAACUUGUUGAUAUGAGUAUUCUAUUAAUCCUAUUAAGCCCUAGGCCGGGAUGUUACAUCCGGCGAGGCGGCGCGGAGGCGACGGUGAACGUCGACGCGGCCGGAGCUCGUCGGCGGGGAGGGGAGGGGGCGGAGUCCGAAGGCAGCCGCCAAGCCGGCGCUUCCCGUCCCUGGCGAGGGACGGUGGAGGGACACUCCAAGACGGCGCGCGCACGGGAAGACCGACGCGGCCGCAAGGAGGUGAAGUGGCGGCGAUGCUGCUUCCGGUUUAGGGGGCUUCAAAAUCCGGUAUGUCACCAAACCCGAGCCUAAUUUUCUUCCAUUUGGAUUUAAUUCGGACUUUGUGACUUAGGGUUCUUCCCCAAAGAAUUAGGGUUCUUCAUUUGGGGAUUUUAGGCCGAUUGGAUCCGGCUUAUGGGGAUUUCGGGAAAUUUCAAUCUUGUUUAUUCCCAUAUGAUUAACCGUGGGGAGUUUCAAUCUUGUUUAUCCCCUAAUUCUUGUUUGCUGAGUACUAGCCGAAACCUUAGUUUCGGUCUAGGAAUUUUGAGUGCGGGAAUUGGGAAUUUCCCUUUGCUAAAUUUAGGGGAAUUUCAAUCUAGUUUAUCCCCUUCUUAGCUUCGGCUUAGGGUUCUGAGUGCGAGGAAAUUGGGAGUUUCAAUAUGUUUAUCCCAAUCCCUUUUCUUCUCUUAAUCUCCACUGAUGGAUAAUCAAAAUCGAAAACUUGAAUUAAACAGCUUCUUCAAUAAUUUGCUUCUCCUACUGAUGGCCGAAACCACCAGUAUAAAAGGGCUUAAUACUUAAAGAAAUUAAUCCAAUCUAAUUCAAAAUUGCUCAUGCCGAAUCAAUCUUGUAUUUUUAUAAGGAUGGCUUCUAAUCACAGGGAUGAUGUGAUUAUGAGGGAUUGAGUGGACUAAAAAUUAGGCUCUGAUACCACAAUGUUGGAGUUCUAAUUACAUGAUCUUAAGCUUUAGUCUAUAAACAAUCACCUCUUGCUUAUGCGGAAAAAUAAUUGAUCUACUUACCUGAGUUAGAAGCCAUUGCCGUUCUUCUUUCUUCUUCUUGCAGAGAUGCCUCACGAACCCCUUCCAGUGCCUAGAUCGAUCGGGCGAUUAAUUAGGGUUUGAGAUUAGAGAGAGAGAGAGUUUGGUCGUCUGUCUCCUUCCUUCUCUUUCUUUAUAUAGGCGACAUUGGUGAGGCUCGGGGGUUAUCUCAAUUAGUUUAGGAUUCUGUUUUCUGUACCGAUCACACAAAAAACGAAUUUAUCUCUUAGUUUGUUUCUUGUUAGGAUAAGGAAACCGGUGGUUUAGAUCCUCUCCUAACCCUUAUCGACACAAGUCGACAAAAUCAACCAACAUACAUAGGCA
RNAcentral lists this long non-coding RNA (8284 nucleotides) under Oryza sativa (Asian cultivated rice). RNAcentral's name for it is "long non-coding RNA (OSAT_LNC001501)". Lineage: Eukaryota; Viridiplantae; Streptophyta; Magnoliopsida; Poales; Poaceae. The record is from RNAcentral.